ACACGACUACAUUAGAUACCCCGGUAGUCCUAGCCGUAAACGAUACUCGCUAGGUGUCGGCCACGGUGCGACCGUUGUCGGUGCCGUAGGGAAGCCGUGAAGCGAGCCACCUGGGAAGUACGGCCGCAAGGCUGAAACUUAAAGGAAUUGGCGGGGGAGCACCGCAACGGGAGGAGCGUGCGGUUUAAUUGGAUUCAACACCGUAAAACUCACCAGGGAAGACUGUUACAUGAAGGCCGAGAUGAAGACUCUGCUAGAUUUUCAG
Molecule: ribosomal RNA, 265 nt
Filed under: uncultured archaeon
Lineage: Archaea
Description: partial 16S ribosomal RNA
Rfam family: Archaeal small subunit ribosomal RNA
Source: RNAcentral